This 253-nucleotide ribosomal RNA is filed under the name uncultured bacterium. RNAcentral describes it as "partial 16S ribosomal RNA". It matches the Rfam family "Bacterial small subunit ribosomal RNA", at positions 524 to 776 of the family's 1533-position model. The record is from RNAcentral.
UACGUAGGGGGCAAGCGUUGUCCGGAAUCAUUGGGCGUAAAGCGCGUGUAGGCGGCUUGGUAAGUCCGCUCUGAAAGCCCGGGGCUCAACCCCGGGAGGCGGGUGGAUACUGCCAAGCUCGAGUCCGGAAGAGGAGUGUGGAAUUCCUGGUGUAGCGGUGAAAUGCGCAGAUAUCAGGAGGAACACCAAUGGCGAAGGCAGCACUCUGGGACGUGACUGACGCUGAGACGCGAAAGCGUGGGGAGCAAACAGG